Molecule: ribosomal RNA, 429 nt
Filed under: Acidobacteriota bacterium
Lineage: Bacteria; Pseudomonadati; Acidobacteriota
Description: Acidobacteria bacterium partial 16S ribosomal RNA
Rfam family: Bacterial small subunit ribosomal RNA
Source: RNAcentral
UAGGGAAUCUUCCACAAUGGACGCAAGUCUGAUGGAGCAACGCCGCGUGAGUGAAGAAGGUUUUCGGAUCGUAAAGCUCUGUUGUUGGUGAAGAAGGAUAGAGGUAGUAACUGGCCUUUAUUUGACGGUAAUGCACCAGAAAGUCACGGCUAACUACGUGCCAGCAGCCGCGGUAAUACGUAGGUGGCAAGCGUUGUCCGGAUUUAUUGGGCGUAAAGCGAGCGCAGGCGGAAGAAUAAGUCUGAUGUGAAAGCCCUCGGCUUAACCGAGGAACUGCAUCGGAAACUGUUUUUCUUGAGUGCAGAAGAGGAGAGUGGAACUCCAUGUGUAGCGGUGGAAUGCGUAGAUAUAUGGAAGAACACCAGUGGCGAAGGCGACUCUCUGGUCUGCAACUGACGCUGAGGCUCGAAAGCAUGGGUAGCGAACAGG